CCUCAGCGCUGUUACCAGGGCCAUCUAAAAAAAAAGUUGCGCUACGGACGAGAAGUCGAAGAGGAAGCAGAGAAGAGGGACUCCCCGAGCUGCUCGACGCCGAACACGUUGGGUAACACGGUCCACUUCGGUCGAGGUGGUGGAUGCCAGGCUGGUGUCUGGCUUUCAUGCCAGGGAGCUGGAGCUGGUCAUAGCUGGAACAGCUGACAUUGACUUAUCACACUGGACGAACAACACAGAGUACACAGGAGGUAUCAUCAACUGUGUCAACUCUACUUCCUGUCCCAAUAAAGGGGAAUCAAACACUGUCUUUCUUCCAAUCUUAGUUGACUACAAGUAGUUAGGUCAGCUGCCCAAUAACACACAUUUGCAUUCCUAUGUUACUUAUUCAAAAACCUUGGAGGCAGUUUAAUCUUUUCUACAAAUAUACAAGUUAAAGUACAAAACAUAACAUAAAUUACAAAGAUGGAAAAACUAAAAACCAAAUCAUAAAGACAUAAAAUCCUAA
Long non-coding RNA from Acanthopagrus latus (yellowfin seabream), 508 nucleotides. RefSeq lists it as uncharacterized. NCBI's taxonomy places the organism in Eukaryota, Metazoa, Chordata, Actinopteri, Spariformes, Sparidae. The transcript is spliced from 2 exons. The record is from RefSeq and is a predicted model, not a curated record.